This 229-nucleotide ribosomal RNA is filed under the name uncultured bacterium. Its description in RNAcentral is "partial 16S ribosomal RNA". It matches the Rfam family "Bacterial small subunit ribosomal RNA", at positions 568 to 796 of the family's 1533-position model. The record is from RNAcentral.
UGCGUAGGCGGAAGUGCAAGUCAGAUGUGAAAUCCCAGGGCUCAACCCUGGGGCUGCAUUUGAAACUCCAUUUCUUGAGGUUAGGCGGAGAAAACGGAAUUCCACAAGUAGCGGUGAAAUGCGUAGAUAUGUGGAAGAACACCCGUGGCGAAAGCGGUUUUCUAGCUUAAACCUGACGCUGAGGCACGAAGGCUGGGGGAGCGAACAGGAUUAGAUACCCUGGUAGUCC